GGUUGUGGCUCAAUGGUAGAGCACUUGCCUAGCAUGUAUGAAGCACUGGGUUCAAUUCUCAGCACCA
This 67-nucleotide transfer RNA is filed under the name Marmota monax (woodchuck). Its description in RNAcentral is "tRNA.Ala". It matches the Rfam family "tRNA". Rfam says of the family: Transfer RNA (tRNA) molecules are approximately 80 nucleotides in length. Their secondary structure includes four short double-helical elements and three loops (D, anti-codon, and T loops). Lineage: Eukaryota; Metazoa; Chordata; Mammalia; Rodentia; Sciuridae. The record is from RNAcentral.